GGGGGAGUGGGGAUUGGGGUGGAGGAAGACUCCCCACCCCCACCCCUUGCUUCCCACUUUCCACUGCGCAGAUCCAUCAAGAGCUCCCUGUCCAGAAAAAGGAGAAAUGUGUGUGAGCAUCUCCACUGGAAAAGUGAUAUUAUGUGCUGUGAAUCAUAGAAUACCACAAUAUUUAAAGAAUCAAAAUUAUGGAUGAAGAAAAGGACAAUGGAAAGUCCCGUGAUAGACAUAAGUAGCUUGUGGCUUAUUGUUAAUGAGGACACACUCAAGAAGAGGUGCAAAUAGUAUCAUCCAAAAAAUGUAGGAGUAGGCCCUUCCAAGUCCAUCUGAGGCAGCAUGAAAUAGAGGAAAGAUCCUUGGACUUGGAGUCUGAAGAUGAAGGCCCCUCUUAAUCUCCUCCACGUUUGGUUUGGGGAGGAUGGAAAGAGCUGAAUAAUUGUCCUUUCUCUGCAGCUGGAUGUACACCUGGCCUUAGAUUGCACCUCACUCCCUUGCCAGCAAAGGGAGUUUUAAAGAGAGGAGAAAGUUACAAGAACUCAGACCAUUGUUUUCUGUUUCAGAAACACUCAAGGCUGCAAGCAAAAUUCAGAGAAGAUUUGGAGAGUUGUAAAAACAUUUUUUUUUAAAGACAAGAAAAAUCUCUAUGCAGAAAAAUCACUCCCACAAAUUGUGAAAAUCCUCAUCUGGGUCUCAGGCUCUGCUGUUCAUUUAUUCCUAUUUCAGUACGCUGGUUUCCAUGAAGAUCAUAAAAUUUUGCCACUUCCCCCCCCCAAAAAAAAAGAUAGAGUCAUAGUUUCUUGGAAAGCCCAGCAUGGCCUAAUUCUGGCCAAAUCCUCCUACUUCUUAUUAGAUAUGUCAAACUUCUGGAAAUGUUGAAUCCAUGAAUGUAAAAAACAACUCUUCUGUAAGCCUAAAGCUCAUUCUUAGUUUAGGAACAUGCAAAUAUGUUACAUAAUAACUUGGUUUGUUCAAAAUAUCAUCAUGUUUGCUAUAGUUGGAAAUUUAAAGAGCUUUGUAAGUAAAAAAUUUUCUUCCUUUUUUUUUCCUCUCCAGUUUUGAAAAGGAAAGGGAAAAGGUCUUGAAAAAAUAUUUUUCUCUCCUGUUUUGUUUUGUUUUGUUUUCUGUUACAUUUUUCCCCCCUAGGCAUUCACAGCUCAGUUUAGUAGCAUGCAUUCAUACACACAGACACACACACACACACACACACACACACACACACACACACUUAAUCCUUCCCAGACAGCUAUCUGUAGUCAGCCUUAAACUCAGUAUUUUCUCUAAUUGAAGUAUUGCAAUUGAAAUCCAUUGACAAGUCUUUUUAUUUUACUCAUAAAGUCUGGGGAAGAGGGGGAAGUAUUAUCAUCUUUUUGUGGACAGGAACAUUAAGCCUCUAUCAAAGGAGGAUCCCAACUUAGCUAACUUUGGACCUCAUUUGGACCCAACUUUGGACCUCAUUCUGCCAAGAAGACCUAGGCUGAAAAGUCAAUUUAAAUCAAUUUGAAUCCCAUUACGCUCCAAAGGUUUCCCAGACUUGACUUUGUGAUAAUGAAUUCAUUGUCUAGGGGGCUUAUUCUUGUAGCUUUUCUUUUUAAAACAAUUGAAUGAUAAGCUCAUUAUUUUACCACAGCAGGUAGUUUCCAGAGCACUCUUAACCAAAAGGAAGAGACUGAGUUUAUAAUCCUACCCUGAGUCCCAUGAAUGUUGCUGAUCUGAGGCUAACAGUUUCAGGGUCUUCUGCCUCUUCUUCCUCACAUUGAAUCUGGGAACCACAUGCUCAUCGCCUCACAGGCUCUGAAGGCCUUGAAGGAACUGGAAGAGACCUCACAGAUGCUCUAAUCCCCCCAUUUUACAGUAAUAAGGAAAUUCAACAAGAAUUGUUUAAAUACCUGUAACAUGUCAGACACUGUUCUAAGUACUGUGAGUUAAGAUAAAAACACAAUGGUCCUUGA
Molecule: non-coding RNA, 1949 nt
Organism: Phascolarctos cinereus (koala)
Lineage: Eukaryota; Metazoa; Chordata; Mammalia; Diprotodontia; Phascolarctidae
Source: RefSeq, a predicted model, not a curated record